This 254-nucleotide ribosomal RNA is filed under the name uncultured bacterium. Its description in RNAcentral is "partial 16S ribosomal RNA". It matches the Rfam family "Bacterial small subunit ribosomal RNA", at positions 524 to 776 of the family's 1533-position model. The record is from RNAcentral.
UACGUAGGUGGCGAGCGUUGUCCGGAUUUACUGGGCGUAAAGAGCGCGCAGGCGGUCGUACAAGUCGCGUGUGAAAGCCCCCCGGCUCAACUGGGGAGGGUCACGCGAUACUGUUCGACUCGAAGGCAGGAGAGGGAAGUGGAAUUCCCGGUGUAGUGGUGAAAUGCGCAGAUAUCGGGAGGAACACCGGUGGCGAAGGCGGUUCUCUGGGCCUUACCUGACGCUGAGGAGCGAAAGCGUGGGGAGCGAACAGG